This 354-nucleotide transfer-messenger RNA is filed under the name marine sediment metagenome. It matches the Rfam family "transfer-messenger RNA". Rfam says of the family: Bacterial tmRNA, also known as 10Sa RNA or SsrA, is named for its dual tRNA and mRNA-like properties. Its role is to liberate the mRNA from a stalled ribosome. To accomplish this part of the tmRNA is used as a reading frame that ends in a translation stop signal. The record is from RNAcentral. RNAcentral also lists the same sequence under 1 other name.
GGGGGCGAAGUAGGUUCGACGGAGGUGGCAUCGGCAGGAGCGGCGAGCCGAGGUUCCCGUGUCCUCGUAAAAUAAGCGGGACACCAAUAAGUGCCAACGAAAGAUACGCUCUAGCCGCCUAAGAGAGCGCGGCUACGCUCUGUUGUACUCUCGCCCGCGGAGACAACAGGGUGUCAACCCAGCGGGAUACGUCUGCGGGGAAGCCCGGACCCGCAGGCGGAAACCCACGGGCUAGCUCGUCGGGCGUCCUGCCCUUGGGAUUACCGGCGGGCGAAACAAGGCAACAAGGGCUACGCUCGUAGAAGCUCUUGUCGCGGCACCUUCGGACCGGGGUGCAACUCCCCGCGCCUCCAC